This 253-nucleotide ribosomal RNA is filed under the name uncultured bacterium. RNAcentral describes it as "partial 16S ribosomal RNA". It matches the Rfam family "Bacterial small subunit ribosomal RNA", at positions 524 to 776 of the family's 1533-position model. The record is from RNAcentral.
UACGUAGGGUGCAAGCGUUGUCCGGAAUUAUUGGGCGUAAAGAGCUCGUAGGCGGUCUGUCGCGUCGGAUGUGAAAACUCGGGGCUCAACCCCGAGCCUGCAUUCGAUACGGGCAGACUAGAGUUCGGUAGGGGAGACUAGAAUUCCUGGUGUAGCGGUGAAAUGCGCAGAUAUCAGGAGGAACACCGGUGGCGAAGGCGGGUCUCUGGGCCGAUACUGACGCUGAGGAGCGAAAGCGUGGGGAGCGAACAGG